AGUGAACGCUGGCGGUAGGCCUAACACAUGCAAGUCGAACGGCAGCACAGUAAGAGCUUGCUCUUACGGGUGGCGAGUGGCGGACGGGUGAGGGAUACAUCGGAAUCUACUUUUUCGUGGGGGAUAACGUAGGGAAACUUACGCUAAUACCGCAUACGACCUACGGGUGAAAGCAGGGGAUCUUCGGACCUUGCGCGAUUGAAUGAGCCGAUGUCGGAGUAGCUAGUUGGCGGGGUAAAGGCCCACCAAGGCGACGUUCCGUAGCUGGUCUGAGAGGAUGAUCAGCCACACUGGGACUGAGACACGGUCCAGACUCCUACGGGAGGCAGCAGUGGGGAAUAUUGGACAAUGGGCGCAAGCCUGAUCCAGCCAUACCGCGUGGGUGAAGAAGGCCUUCGGGUUGUAAAGCCCUUUUGUUGGGAAAGAAAAGCAGCAGGUUAAUACCCCGCUGUUCUGACGGUACCCAAAGAAUAAGCACCGGCUAACUUCGUG
Molecule: ribosomal RNA, 492 nt
Filed under: uncultured bacterium
Lineage: Bacteria
Description: partial 16S ribosomal RNA
Rfam family: Bacterial small subunit ribosomal RNA
Source: RNAcentral